UAGGGAAUCUUCCGCAAUGGGCGAAAGCCUGACGGAGCAACGCCGCGUGAGUGAUGAAGGUCUUCGGAUCGUAAAACUCUGUUAUUAGGGAAGAACAAAUGUGUAAGUAACUAUGCACGUCUUGACGGUACCUAAUCAGAAAGCCACGGCUAACUACGUGCCAGCAGCCGCGGUAAUACGUAGGUGGCAAGCGUUAUCCGGAAUUAUUGGGCGUAAAGCGCGCGUAGGCGGUUUUUUAAGUCUGAUGUGAAAGUCCACGGCUCAACCGUGGAGGGUCAUUGGAAACUGGAAAACUUGAGUGCAGAAGAGGAAAGUGGAAUUCCAUGUGUAGCGGUGAAAUGCGCAGAGAUAUGGAGGAACACCAGUGGCGAAGGCGACUUUCUGGUCUGUAACUGACGCUGAUGUGCGAAAGCGUGGGGAUCAAACAGG
This 429-nucleotide ribosomal RNA is filed under the name Actinomycetes bacterium. RNAcentral describes it as "Actinobacteria bacterium partial 16S ribosomal RNA". It matches the Rfam family "Bacterial small subunit ribosomal RNA", at positions 355 to 776 of the family's 1533-position model. RNAcentral also lists the same sequence under 1 other name. The record is from RNAcentral. Lineage: Bacteria; Bacillati; Actinomycetota; Actinomycetes.